Molecule: ribosomal RNA, 507 nt
Filed under: uncultured bacterium
Lineage: Bacteria
Description: bacterial SSU rRNA
Rfam family: Bacterial small subunit ribosomal RNA
Source: RNAcentral
GAUGAACGCUAGCGGGAGGCUUAAUACAUGCAAGUCGAGGGGCAGCAUAGGGUAGCAAUACUCUGAUGGCGACCGGCAAACGGGUGAGUAACGCGUAUGUAACCUACCCUGUACAGGGGGAUAACCCGGAGAAAUUCGGACUAAUAUCCCAUAACAAUAUCCGGGGGCAUCUUUGGAUAUUUAAAGUUCCGGCGGUACGGGAUGGGCAUGCGUAACAUUAGCUAGUUGGUAAGGUAACGGCUUACCAAGGCUUUGAUGUUUAGGGGUCCUGAGAGGGUGGUCCCCACACUGGUACUGAGACACGGACCAGACUCCUACGGGAGGCAGCAGUGAGGAAUAUUGGUCAAUGGGCGCAAGCCUGAACCAGCCAUCCCGCGUGCAGGAAGACGGCGCUAUGCGUUGUAAACUGCUUUUCCAGGGAGAGAAACUUGCGCACGUGUUGCGCAAUUGACGGUACCCUGGGAAUAAGCAUCGGCUAACUCCGUGCCAGCAGCCGGGUAAAACGUG